RNAcentral lists this long non-coding RNA (5151 nucleotides) under Xyrichtys novacula (pearly razorfish). Lineage: Eukaryota; Metazoa; Chordata; Actinopteri; Labriformes; Labridae. The record is from RNAcentral.
CGUCACUCUGUUUUAGUUUGAUGUCUGACAUUGUCCUCUGAAAAUAUUUCACCAAAGCAAGGACUUCCAUGUGGUUUUAUCUUAUUUGAAAGUUAUCUAUUGGAGAAGUAAAAGCCAUAUAAAAAUUAUUGUGUUUUGAGAGAAAAGGAACAUUAAAUUAAAUCAAACAUUCAUGAAGUUUAGAAGGAAAAUGUUUGCAGGUUUGAGUAACCGGUGCUUUAAGUGUGAAGCACUUUGAAUUAUUUCUCAAGCUUUUGCUCAAAUUAUCAAAUAUUUGAUCAGAAAUCAAAUAAUUCAGACACAUGCACAACAUUUGAAACACAAGCACCACUGGUACUAAGGUUUUAGGAUGGUCCGGUUAAAUCACGGGGUCGUGGCUACUUGACUUUGUUCUCUCCAGGUCCUCUGCAAUUAUCUUCUGCAGUUGCACUCGAGUCUCAGUCAUGCUGAACACUCCUCUCAGGUAGUCCAGGUCUUUCACAGUGGCUGCCACUCUGUGUCCUACACCUGACAGCUCUGCCGACAGCACUGGAAUCAUAAAGAAGGGGAAAAGCAUUUGCGGCUUCAAUAUAUUUAAGAUAAGUAUUUAACACAGUCAACAACACCAGACCUAACACAUUCACACUGCUGGAUACGCCUCAGAGAGCAACUUGAGUUUCAGUUUCUUGCCGAAGGUCACGUAAAGUUUGAAAACUGGGGAUUAAACUGCCAACCUUUAAGAGAAAAAAGAUUAAAUUCCUCUGACCAGUUCUUCACAUGUGGCUCAACCUCUAGCCUCUCAUAUUAUAGAACAAAAAACAUGUCUGGGGAUAAUAUACACUGGUUUCCCUUCAUAAAAUUAUUAUUAUUGUUGUUGUUUCGGUUUCAAGAUAAAUUCUUUUAUAUCUUAGUGGAAAUACUAUUCUAAAAUAUGCAGGACCAGGUCAUGUCAUAGAGCUUUUUUCACAAUUUUACAGGGUAAAACAACAAAAAUGUGUAUAUUUAAAGAUACUGCAUCUGUGUCAAGGCAGCUGUUUUGGAGCUCUUAUGGACACAGUGACAUUUUCCAUAAGAGAUAUUCUCUUAUUAGUACCUGUGUUUUCUUUCUUUAGCUAACAAAACUUCUUCCUCUGCUUCUUCACCUUCUCUGACGUGUAUCCAAGUUCACAGGUCAGGAGUAAAACUUCGCUCCUCUCCUCCUCAGCCUCCUCUUCACUGUCUCUGACUUUUCUCUCUCUAACCUGACCCUCACCAUGGUCCCCAGGUCGUGAGCCAUGUCUCUCAGCAUCUUCAGUUCACUCCAGAUAGACUACUCAGACACCUGAGCUGACCCUGUGGACAAGAAGAGUAGCAGCACUGUAUGGGAAAUCUCAAUUCUAGACGACUCACUUGUCUUUUUUACAAUAAGUAUGACUUAAGGAGAAUGUAGUAGGAGUGAAGGAGAUAAUAUACUUUUAUGUUUACAAAGUCCCUCACAAAACACAGGUGAGUUUGAGCUGACUCAUCAUCAUCAGGUUUCUUGAAGCUAGGAUUCUUGAACCUGUGCUCAACUAACCAACUUAAUUUUCUGCAACUUUUUCUCAAUUUUUUAAUAUUCUUAUAAUUUGUCAACUGCUGAUGGAUAUUUUGGCUGGGAGACGAGUUUAUUCAAGAGAAGGGCUUCUUUCAUUGAGAUGGAGCAAAUCUCGCCAACGACAUCCAAGUCCAGCGGACAUCUGGAGGUGUCCUCAUGGGAAACGUCAGCUUUGUGUCCAUCGAAAUCAACAAGCUGGAGAUAUUGGUAUAGACUGAGAAAGCUUACUGUGAGUGUGGUCUCCUGUGUAUUAGUGAAACCUAGUUGAAUCAAAAACAACCUGGAUUUAAGUGUGGACCUGCCUGGCUGAGAUGUUAAAGCUAGUGGCAAGACGAAAGGAGGAGGCCUGGCUUUAUUUGUCAACCAGAGAUGGUGUAACUCUUCACACAUAACUGUCAAGGAGAGGAUGUGUUUUCCAGAUAUUGAACUGUUGGCAGUUGCCCUUCAGUCGUUGCCUUGGGUGGGAUGUAUACAUGUAUUGUUAUAUGACUGAACUCCCUUGAAACAUAAUAUGGCCACAGUAACAUGUGACGUUCUCCAUAAUACUGAUGCAAGGAUACAGACUCAACAUCCUGAGGCACUUGUAAUAACAUCAGAAGACAUCAACCAUGCUACCCUCUCCUCUCACCUGACUGGAUUCACACAGUUUGUUAACUGUCCAACCAGAGAAAACUAAACCCUCGAUCUGCCAAAUGACAACGAGACAGAUGCACCCUGAGGAAGGUAGGUUCUAAAAACAUGGAUCAUCCACUUUAUAACACAUCCAUUUUUAUUUUUAUUUUUUGGAUUGAUUGUAUUGAUUAUUCAAUCAAAUUUACAUACAGUACAAUUUUAAACAAAGAAUUCCCUAUUUUUUUGGAGAUCAAAAAGGAAUAGGUUGAAGCUAUUAUGUAACGACCCUCAUUCCUUCCUAUUCGUUUAUCCUUUACAUGUCUUUUGCCAAAAAAUAACCAAAGCUCCAAAGUCUAGCAUGACUAUAUAACUAAUCAUUAAUACUAAAACAAAGACCUUCUACAUACAUAUAUACAUCCAUACCUUAAUACACACAUAUACACACAAAUAUAGACUUUAUAUAUAUACCAAGAAUACUUCAAAUUUCUUAUGUGUACCAUAUACAGUAUAAUAAGUGUGGGAAAACAAAAAUCAAUUUUUUUUUUUUUUUUCAAUCAUACUCUGCUUUGAUUUGCUUUAAAACUGUGCUAUAGUUUUGCUUUGUUUAAGCUCAUGGGGCUAAAAAAUGAGGUGGAUGGCUCUUCUCGCUUCACUGCAGGAGAUCUUCAGUACCCGUAGCCAUCAGACUUUUUAAUUCUUCUAUAAAUAGUAGAUAAUAUGAGACUUCAGACAAAUGAAUUUACCUUUAGGGAUAAAUAAAGUUAUUGUAUUGUCAGACUUUGGCACUAACCUCCUGUAUGUCAGGAAAGAACUAAGUGUUAGCUGUGUUUUUUAUUAGUCGUAAAACUAAGAGUUAAACUGGCAAGAGUUUGGGGGUACUAUUUAUUUAUUCAUUUUAAAACCUUCUCAUCAUGUAAACAAAAAGAGUAAAUUUGAACAUUUUCAACUGAAAAGUAAAAAAAUAUUCAAAGUUACCUGACUGCACUUCUCAAUAAUCACACCAGCUUCUUAAUAAAGCAAACAGCAUACCAGAGCACUCAACUGUAACUUAUUUGUCCUCUCCUUUUGAAAAUAGCUGAUAACACGCUCUUUGUUAAGGUGUGACUGAAUAUUUGAUGCCGUUUGGUAUUUCAAAGUCGCCUUACAUGAACCGCCACCUUUUUCAUUAUCACUUACGACACCACAUUAGUCACAUUGUUCAAAAAAAAAAAAACUCUUGAGCUUUUAUUAAAGACUUGAUUAUGUCUGCCAGGUAACACGGUGAAGACAAAUGAGUUAAAGCAUGUCAGAGAAAACACUUUUUUCAACUUUAAUCACAUGAAUACACUUAAUGUGCUUCAUGAUGUGUGUAAGAGUGAAUAGAAAAUCAGCUUCACCGUCAGUUUUAUUGCUGUUUUUAGCAAGAGACACUAACAGAGACAUUUGAUUGAUCAGAAUUAAGGUACAAAUUGUUGAGGAGGGUUUAAAAUUGUGAAAAAGUUACAAAAAAGUAAUUCUGCAUUUUUAAAUCAAACUUAAAUGGCAUCCUCACAAUGAACAAUAUGAACAUCAGCAACAUAAUCGAGUGGAUUACAUUGAUUUCUAUCCAAACUGGCCACAAGUAGGGAUGGCUGUAUUGAUUCUAAAGUAACCAUACUUUGUACUUCUAACAAAUAUUGAUACCCAAUGAGUACUUUUCAAACUUUUCAUAUUUUGGAGGCAAAUAUUGUAGAGAACGCUCAACUUCACUAUCUGAAUGCUUUGGCUGAUUUUGCAGAGAACAAGGAUUUAAUUGGCUAUUAAAAAAGUCAAUGUAUACAAAUUUAUAUGCUCUAUUGGCAUUUAUUGUCAAAAACAUCCCCAUUGUAUUAAACUAAGAAUUUGGUAUCUUCCAUCCCCAUCCAUUCAUGAUUUAGGUGCUGUGCUUUGACUCUGGGGUCUUUUCCAUUUUUCUGUUUACAAAUUACAAAAACAAGAGGUUAGGAAAUGCCCCCUUGACGCUGAUACAUCCAGCCUGUCUCCUGUGGACUGCUGAUGGCAAUGUGAUUUGUUUGACCUGAUCUGAUGCUUGCAUGCCGUUAGAGCACACUGUUUCACCUUCAGUUUGGUUUUGUUUGGUAGAAAUGUGCUGUUUUUAGUGUGGAGUAAAAGUUGAAUUAAAACAGCUCAGUUGACUGAACCUUGCUCAGCAUCAUACAACAGUUAACAAUUUAAUGGGACUUUUUAAAAUAUUUGGCAGCUACAUAAAAAGAUCAGUCUCUUUGAAAGUUUAUGGAGACCAAAUCAAAGCGAAAAGACGAGUUAAGAUUGGAUCUAUGCAAUGAUGUUUUCACAGACUUGUGUUUAUAACUUGUUUUGCCUCCAAGUGGCCAAAAAAUCUGUUACACACCAGGUUUAUUUUAAGGCAAGGUAAGUGCAGCAGAAAAUAACCACUAGAGCAUCAAAGUUUAACACUGCUGUAGUCGUUCAGUCGUUUUCUAACCCCAGAGACAUGUGAUACGUUUUCAUAACGUCAUUCUUGGAACAAACACAUCUUUCUCAUUUCAGAGAAGACUUGAUUUCAUCCCUGGAGGUGUAAAUGAUGGCAUGCUGAAGUAAUGUGCUUCUGCUGUUCACUUCACCUCUAAAGAAGCUGAAUUUUACCCGACAUUUUCCCAGAAUCGUCUGACACUGACUCUAAAGGACUUUAUUUGUGGAGGUUUAAAAAGGCCACUGAAGGCUUUGUUUCUUAGAAAUGCAUAAGCUGUCCUAUUGAAAGAUUUCUGUAUUAUAAAUGUGUUUUUAAAUGUUUAAAAUCUUAAGUUUAAGGUCCAUGAAGGUCUCGAGUCCAACGCUUUAAAAAGAUUCUGUUACUUCAGCUCACUUUUCAGUCCAUUACAGAAUCUACUCUCCUGCUGCUUUGCUUUUUUGCUGCGAGCGGUCCAGCUGUGUGGAAAGACUAAAACCUUGAGGACUGAGGGUGACAUGUUAGGUAAGACUUCUAACAAAAGGCAUGACGUAUGUCAGGG